Molecule: non-coding RNA, 101 nt
Organism: Acanthosepion pharaonis
Lineage: Eukaryota; Metazoa; Mollusca; Cephalopoda; Sepiida; Sepiidae
Source: the annotation of a GenBank genome assembly
UCAUGUUGAAACACUAGUUUUCAUAUGAUCACCAAAGUUAAGCAAUAUUGAGCCUACUCAGUACCUAGAUGGGAGACCACUUGGGAAUACCAGAUGGUGUA